GAUGAAGAACGUAGCGAAAUGCGAUAAGUAGUGUGAAUUGCAGAAUUCAGUGAAUCAUCGAAUCUUUGAACGCACAUUGCGCCCCUUGGUAUCCCGAGGGGCAUGCCUGUUCGAGCGUCAUUUCACCACUCAAGCCUGGCUUGGUGUUGGGCGACGUCCUCUUCGGGGACGCGCCUCGAAACGCUCGGCGGCGUGGCACCGGCUUUAAGCGUAGCAGAAUCUUUCGCUUUGGAAGUCGGGGCCCCGUCUGCCGGAAGACCUGCUCGCAAGGUUGACCUCGGAUCAGGCAGGGAUACCCGCUGAACUUAAGCAUAUCAAUAAGCGGAGGA
This 329-nucleotide unclassified non-coding RNA is filed under the name soil metagenome. RNAcentral's name for it is "partial contains 5.8S ribosomal RNA, internal transcribed spacer 2, and large subunit ribosomal RNA". The stretch from base 1 to 120 matches the Rfam family "5.8S ribosomal RNA", at positions 35 to 154 of the family's 154-position model. The record is from RNAcentral.